AUGGAUUCAACUGCAUCUGCUUCGGGCUCGUCCACGUCUGACCUCGAAGCGCUGAUGGAGGAAUUGGGCCUCAAGGAAGAUGAUCUGCAGGACGUCGUGGUGGAGGAUGGAGAACUGCCAAAGGAGGCGACACGCUGGAUUGCGAUCGCUAGGGUUCACACCGAAAAAACCUAUAGCCAAUACUGGUUCUACAGAGGCAUGAGGGUGGCGUGGGAUCUGGCGAAGGAAGUAAAGAUCAGGCCACUUGAGGAGAAUCUCUACACCUUCCAAUUCUCGUGCCUUGGGGAUUGGGAG
This 294-nucleotide ribosomal RNA is filed under the name Triticum aestivum (bread wheat). RNAcentral's name for it is "partial small subunit ribosomal RNA". The record is from RNAcentral. Lineage: Eukaryota; Viridiplantae; Streptophyta; Magnoliopsida; Poales; Poaceae.